This 1319-nucleotide long non-coding RNA is filed under the name Ricinus communis (castor bean). Its description in RNAcentral is "long non-coding RNA (RCOM_LNC002385)". The record is from RNAcentral. Lineage: Eukaryota; Viridiplantae; Streptophyta; Magnoliopsida; Malpighiales; Euphorbiaceae.
CCGGGACCGAGAUCCAGAUCGAGCCGCCAUUGCGACUCGAAAUGUGGAAGUGCAGCAGAGAUCUAGGGUUUGGUUAUAGCAAUUUAGCGGCUUCGGUAGCGGUCAUUGGUUGGUGAGUGGUAGUGUUGUUGAUAAAUGAUGGAAAUUGCAACUUUUUCACUAUUAUUAUUCCCUGGAAAAUGAUUAGAGAGCAGAAGAAGUUAGGGAGUGUGCAUAUGGUACUUUCCCUUUUUCCUCUUCUUCAAGCAUGUCAUCCAAAACAAAAUAUGGCCCCAGUACACCUGCCCAAAGCCAUUCGAACCGUGAACCAGACCGGUCAAAUCCAUUUUAGCUAAUUUCUUAAUAUUAUAUUUAACUUAUUUUUUUCUUUUUCUUUUUCUUUUUUACCAGCUAAUCUUCUUCUUCUUUUUUUUUUUUUUUUGAAGAAUAUAUUGAACUGAUCUUGAAUCGUAAUUGUCGGUCUAAACCGAAACAACAUUUAAAAAAUUAAAUAAAAAUUUUAAUUUAGAAAAUUAAUUUUUUUAAAACUUGUACUUAAACUUAAUCUACAUAUAUCUAAUGUUAAAAUAUUAUUUAAAUAUUUAGAUAAAUUUAAAUUUAAUUAACACUUAUAAAAAUAACUAAAUUAAAUAAUAAUUUCUACCUAUUGUAAAUUAUAUCAUUAUUAUAAUAAAUAUUGUGAAAAUAUAAAUUAAUGGAUUCGAUAGACUUCAAAUUGACUUAGAGAAAAAAUUUGAGAAUUCUUGAUUUAUAGAAUUUGUAAAAUAAAGAGAAGAAGAAGCUCAGAGGGUGAAUGUCUGAAUCGGCGUUCCAACUCUAAUGCUUAAAAAAAUAACAGGAGAACUAUUUAUUUUUCAUUAAAGUUCUAUAAUAAUUGAUACAUUUAGAAAUAAAUCAUUAAUUAUAUAUUUUUAACUUAAAGAUUUUUUAGAUAUCUGCAACGAAACAACUUAGGAAUCUCAUGUGUGAUAUCUGAAAAACUACUAUGAUGUUCAAGUUAAUAAGUGAGUGAAUAUUUGGAUAAAGUAUAUAAAGAGUUGUAAUUGUGUUACCUGAUCAAUGAGGUACAAUGGAGUAUUUAUAGUAUUAUCUUGUAGGCACAGUCAGGCAUGAGGAAUAGUCUCCGAGAUUGGCAGAAUGGAUCACGAAGUCCUACAUUCUCUAUCAUCAUAAGUGCAUGUCCUUUUACCAAAAAAGGCGAUCUGUUCGGUGGUAGCUUAUUGUGUAGAUUGGCAAUCUUGAGGGGUAACGGACCAGCUAGUCAUAACUAAUUUGGGAGAUCCUGAUUUAGCUAGGUAUGUAUCCAUGACGAAGAUAUU